This is a long non-coding RNA of Oncorhynchus keta (chum salmon), 2081 nucleotides long. RefSeq lists it as uncharacterized. The record is from RefSeq and is a predicted model, not a curated record. NCBI's taxonomy places the organism in Eukaryota, Metazoa, Chordata, Actinopteri, Salmoniformes, Salmonidae. The transcript has 5 exons.
UGCCAUUUUGAAACUUGGCCACAUCCUAACAGUCUUGGACAGCCUAAUUUCCUUGCCUCCUUCAUUCACAUCCAUAGACGAGAAAGGAUUCAGUGAGGUCCACCGUAGACGAGAAAGGAUUCAGUAAGGUCCACCAUAGACGAGAAAGGAUUCAGUGAGGUCCACCAUAGACGAGAAAGGAUUCAGUAAGGUCCACCAUAGACGAGAAAGGAUUCAGUGAGGUCCACCAUAGACGAGAAAGGAUUCAGUAAGGUCCACCGUAGACGAGAAAGGAUUCAGUGAGGUCCACCAUAGACGAGAAAGGAUUCAGUAAGGUCCACCAUAGACGAGAAAGGAUUCAGUGAGGUCCACCAUAGACGAGAAAGGAUUCAGUAAGGUCCACCAUAGACGAGAAAGGAUUCAGUGAGGUCCACCAUAGACGAGAAAGGAUUCAGUAAGGUCCACCAUAGACGAGAAAGGAUUCAGUGAGGUCCACCAUAGACGAGAAAGGAUUCAGUAAGGUCCACCAUAGACGAGAAAGGAUUCAGUGAGGUCCACCAUAGACGAGAAAGGAUUCAGUAAGGUCCACCAUAGACGAGAAAGGAUUCAGUGAGGUCCACCAUAGACGAGAAAGGAUUCAGUGAGGUCCACCAUAGACGAGAAAGGAUUCAGUAAGGUCCACCGUAGACGAUAAAGGAUUCAGUAAGGUCCACCAUAGACGAUAAAGGAUUCAGUGCGGUCCACCAUAGACGAUAAAGGAUUCAGUAAGAUCCACCAUAGACGAGAAAGGAUUCAGUGAGGUCCACCAUAGACGAGAAAGGAUUCAGUGCGGUCCACCAUAGACGAGAAAGGAUUCAGUGCGGUCCACCAUAGACGAUAAAGGAUUCAGUAAGGUCCACCAUAGACGAUAAAGGAUUCAGUAAGGUCCACCAUAGACGAUAAAGGAUUCAGUAAGGUCCACCAUAGACGAUAAAGGAUUCAGUAAGGUCCACCGUAGACGAUAAAGGAUUCAGUGAGGUCCACCAUAGACGAUAAAGGAUUCAGUGAGAUCCACCGUAGACGAGAAAGGAUUCAGUGCGGUCCACCAUAGACGAUAAAGGAUUCAGUAAGGUCCACCAUAGACAAGAAAGGAUUCAGUGAGCUCCACCAUAGACGAUAAAGGAUUCAGUAAGGUCCACCAUAGACGAGAAAGGAUUCAGUAAGGUCCACCAUAGACGAUAAAGGAUUCAGUAAGGUCCACCAUAGACGAGAAAGGAUUCAGUGAGGUCCACCAUAGACGAUAAAGGAUUCAGUAAGGUCCACCGUAGACGAGAAAGGAUUCAGUAAGGUCCACCAUAGACGAUAAAGGAUUCAGUAAGGUCCACCGUAGACGAGAAAGGAUUCAGUGAGGUCCACCAUAGACGAUAAAGGAUUCAGUAAGGUCCACCAUAGACGAUAAAGGAUUCAGUGAGGUCCACCGUAGACGAUAAAGGAUUCAGUGCGGUCCACCGUAGACGAGAAAGGAUUCAGUGCGGUCCACCAUAGACGAUAAAGGAUUCAGUAAGAUCCACCGUAGACGAGAAAGGAUUCAGUGCGGUCCACCAUAGACGAUAAAGGAUUCAGUAAGGUCCACCAUAGACAAGAAAGGAUUCAGUGAGCUCCACCAUAGACAAGAAAGGAUUCAGUGAGGUCCACCAUAGACGAUAAAGGAUUCAGUAAGGUCCACCAUAGACAAGAAAGGAUUCAGUGAGCUCCACCAUAGACAAGAAAGGAUUCAGUGAGGUCCACCAUAGACGUCGCCUCAUUGUAUCGGUCCCAUUGUGGCAUCAGUGAGCGCAUGGGCAGUGGCAUUGAGGCCAUCUCAAUUUUGAAGUAGUCCCAUUUUUCUUCUUCUACUACUUCUAUGAGUUGGUAAACAAACUGAAUGGGUGCUUACUGCCCCCUGGAGGGUGUUGUCGGGAACAGGUAUAACGCCAAGGUUGGUGAUUUACUGCCCUCUGCGCAGUGAUGGAAUGUUUACACGAGUAUAAUUAAUUGGCUGAUCCUUCCGAUGACAUGGAUGGAAUUAUGUGAUCCUUCCCUCUUAAAAUGUUAAAUUAAAGAUUCACCCAUUUUUAAUGUUA